RNAcentral lists this ribosomal RNA (259 nucleotides) under uncultured prokaryote. RNAcentral's name for it is "partial 16S ribosomal RNA". It matches the Rfam family "Bacterial small subunit ribosomal RNA", at positions 524 to 782 of the family's 1533-position model. The record is from RNAcentral.
UACGUAGGUGGCGAGCGUUAUCCGGAAUUAUUGGGCGUAAAGAGCGCGCAGGUGGCUGAUUAAGUCUGAUGUGAAAGCCCACGGCUUAACCGUGGAGGGUCAUUGGAAACUGGUCAACUUGAGUGCAGAAGAGGGAAGUGGAAUUCCAUGUGUAGCGGUGAAAUGCGUAGAGAUAUGGAGGAACACCAGUGGCGAAGGCGGCUUCCUGGUCUGUAACUGACACUGAGGCGCGAAAGCGUGGGGAGCAAACAGGAUUAGA